Molecule: ribosomal RNA, 493 nt
Filed under: uncultured bacterium
Lineage: Bacteria
Description: partial 16S ribosomal RNA
Rfam family: Bacterial small subunit ribosomal RNA
Source: RNAcentral
AUUGAACGCUGGCGGCAUGCCUUACACAUGCAAGUCGAACGGUAACAGGUUAAGCUGACGAGUGGCGAACGGGUGGGUAAUAUAUCGGAACGUGCCCAGUCGUGGGGGAUAACGUAGCGAAAGCUACGCUAAUACCGCAUACGAUCUACGGAUGAAAGCGGGGGAUCGCAAGACCUCGCGCGAUUGGAGCGGCCGAUAUCAGAUUAGGUUGUUGGUGAGGUAAAAGCUCACCAAGCCUGCGAUCUGUAGCUGGUCUGAGAGGACGACCAGCCACACUGGAACUGAGACACGGUCCAGACUCCUACGGGAGGCAGCAGUGGGGAAUUUUGGACAAUGGACGCAAGUCUGAUCCAGCAAUGCCGCGUGCAGGACGAAGGCCUUCGGGUUGUAAACUGCUUUUGUACGGAACGAAACGGUGAGCUCUAAUACAGUUUGCUAAUGACGGUGCCGUAAGAAUAAGCACCGGCUAACUACGUGCCAGCCGCCGCAGUAA